RNAcentral lists this ribosomal RNA (301 nucleotides) under uncultured bacterium. RNAcentral describes it as "partial 16S ribosomal RNA". It matches the Rfam family "Bacterial small subunit ribosomal RNA", at positions 509 to 809 of the family's 1533-position model. The record is from RNAcentral.
CAGUCGCCGCGGGAAUACGAAGGGGGCUAGCGUUGCUCGGAAUUACUGGGCGUAAAGGGAGCGUAGGCGGACAUUUAAGUCAGGGGUGAAAUCCCGGGGCUCAACCUCGGAAUUGCCUUUGAUACUGGGUGUCUUGAGUAUGAGAGAGGUAUGUGGAACUCCGAGUGUAGAGGUGAAAUUCGUAGAUAUUCGGAAGAACACCAGUGGCGAAGGCGACAUACUGGCUCAUUACUGACGCUGAGGCUCGAAAGCGUGGGGAGCAAACAGGAUUAGAUACCCCGGUAGUCCCUGUCUCUUAUAA